UACAGAGGGUGCAAGCGUUAAUCGGAAUUACUGGGCGUAAAGCGUGCGUAGUCGGUUAUUUAAGUCAGGUGUGAAAUCCCCGGGCUCAACCUGGGAAUUGCAUUUGAUACUGGAUAGCUAGAGUUCGGCAGAGGGAAGUGGAAUUUCUGGUGUAGCGGUGAAAUGCGUAGAUAUCAGAAGGAACAUCAGUGGCGAAAGCGACUUCCUGGACCAGAACUGACGAUCAGGCACGAAAGCGUGGGGAGCAAACAGG
Molecule: ribosomal RNA, 253 nt
Filed under: uncultured bacterium
Lineage: Bacteria
Description: partial 16S ribosomal RNA
Rfam family: Bacterial small subunit ribosomal RNA
Source: RNAcentral